GAUGAACGCUAGCGGCAGGCUUAAUACAUGCAAGGCGAAGGGGCAGCAAUGUCACUGUCGUACGGGUGCGUAACGCGUAUGCGACCUACCUAUCACUGGGGGGAUAGCCCCGGGGGAAACCCGGAUUAAUACCGCAUAACACAGGGGCUCCUCAUGGAGAUAUUUGUUAAAGAUUUAUCGGCGGUAGAUGGGCAUGCGUU
Molecule: ribosomal RNA, 200 nt
Filed under: uncultured bacterium
Lineage: Bacteria
Description: partial 16S ribosomal RNA
Rfam family: Bacterial small subunit ribosomal RNA
Source: RNAcentral